This is a long non-coding RNA of Bufo gargarizans (Asiatic toad), 414 nucleotides long. RefSeq lists it as uncharacterized. The record is from RefSeq and is a predicted model, not a curated record. Lineage: Eukaryota; Metazoa; Chordata; Amphibia; Anura; Bufonidae. The transcript is spliced from 3 exons.
AGAAUAACGAGCACGCCGGCAAAUACUCAAAGCUCCGUACCAAGCGAUCGGGAGACAACUGGCACCAUACGAGACAGAUAAUCUCCUUGACGCAACCCUUCACACCUUCAGAACUGGGUAAGGUACUACAGUCUAUCCCAUCGGAAUAUCAUUUAAUAAUAUAAAAGAGAUUUAACACGGAAGAUGACCAUUGCCCUGUGGUUCUGGGGAUGAAUGUACUCGGCAACUGUUACACUGAAGUGCUGGAAACCUUUAAGAAAAUCCUACUGACCGCACCCCAUGUAACUGAACUCGUCAUAAACCAGACGGAAGGAAAAAGUACCCCAGACCAUUAUGGCGCCCCCUCCACUGUGGCGCGUAGAAAACAUCUCAGGUGGGAUCUGCUUGUCAUGCCAGUAACGUUGGAAACCAUCA